GGGUCCAUAGCUCAACAGGAUAGAGCAUCGGAUUUCUAAUCCGGGGGUUGGGAGUUCGAGCCUCUCUGGACCCGCCA
RNAcentral lists this transfer RNA (77 nucleotides) under Tepiditoga sp. Its description in RNAcentral is "tRNA-Arg". It matches the Rfam family "tRNA". Rfam says of the family: Transfer RNA (tRNA) molecules are approximately 80 nucleotides in length. Their secondary structure includes four short double-helical elements and three loops (D, anti-codon, and T loops). Further hydrogen bonds mediate the characteristic L-shaped molecular structure. tRNAs have two regions of fundamental functional importance: the anti-codon, which is responsible for specific mRNA codon recognition, and the 3' end, to which the tRNAs corresponding amino acid is attached (by aminoacyl-tRNA synthetases). tRNAs cope with the degeneracy of the genetic code in two manners: having more than one tRNA (with a specific anti-codon) for a particular amino acid; and 'wobble' base-pairing, i.e. permitting non-standard base-pairing at the 3rd anti-codon position. The record is from RNAcentral. RNAcentral also lists the same sequence under 1 other name. Lineage: Bacteria; Thermotogati; Thermotogota; Thermotogae; Petrotogales; Petrotogaceae.